AGGAAUUGGCGGGGGAGCACCACAACGCGUGGAGCCUGCGGUUUAAUUGGAUUCAACGCCGGACAUCUCACCAGAGGCGACAGCUGUAUGAUAGCCAGGUUGAUGACUUUGCUUGACUAGCUGAGAGGAGGUGCAUGGCCGCCGUCAGCUCGUACCGCGAGGCGUCCUGUUAAGUCAGGCAACGAGCGAGACCCACGCCCUUAGUUACCAGCGGAUCCUUUUUUGGAUGCCGGGCACACUAAGGGGACCGCCUAUGAUAAAUAGGAGGAAGGAGUGGACGACGGUAGGUCCGUAUGCCCCGAAUCCUCUGGGCAACACGCGGGCUACAAUGGCUGAGACAAUGGGUUCCGACACCGAAAGGUGGAGGUAAUCCUCUAAACUUAGUCGUAGUUCGGAUUGAGGACUGUAACUCGUUCUCAUGAAGCUGGAAUGCGUAGUAAUCGCGUAUCACUAUUGCGCGGUGAAUACGUCCCUGCUCCUUGCACACACCGC
Molecule: ribosomal RNA, 492 nt
Filed under: uncultured archaeon
Lineage: Archaea
Description: bacterial SSU rRNA
Rfam family: Archaeal small subunit ribosomal RNA
Source: RNAcentral